This 384-nucleotide ribosomal RNA is filed under the name uncultured bacterium. RNAcentral describes it as "bacterial SSU rRNA". It matches the Rfam family "Bacterial small subunit ribosomal RNA", at positions 29 to 414 of the family's 1533-position model. The record is from RNAcentral.
ACGAACGCUGGCGGCGUGCUUAACACAUGCAAGUCGAGCGGUAAGGCCCCUUCGGGGGUACACGAGCGGCGAACGGGUGAGUAACACGUGGGUGACCUGCCCUCAGCUCUGGGAUAAGCCUGGGAAACUGGGUCUAAUACCGGAUAUGACUCCAUGACGCAUGUCGUGGGGUGGAAAGCCUUGUGCGGCUGGGGAUGGGCCCGCGGCCUAUCAGCUUGUUGGUGGGGUGAUGGCCUACCAAGGCGACGACGGGUAGCCGGCCUGAGAGGGCGACCGGCCACACUGGGACUGAGACACGGCCCAGACUCCUACGGGAGGCAGCAGUGGGGAAUCUUGCGCAAUGGGCGAAAGCCUGACGCAGCGACGCCGCGUGAGGGAUGACGG